RNAcentral lists this long non-coding RNA (879 nucleotides) under Homo sapiens (human). RNAcentral's name for it is "HSALNT0296079". The record is from RNAcentral. Lineage: Eukaryota; Metazoa; Chordata; Mammalia; Primates; Hominidae.
CAGCAGGUUAAGAAAGUAAUUUUUACAUAGUACUGAUCCAUAAUUAUAUGUCUGCAAUUUUAAAACCUAAGAAGAUACUGAAGGAUGAAAAGAUUUGUGCGGUUUGGGGGCUUGGGAAGGGAUGAGAGUUAGCAGGGAAGUGUGGUAGCAAAAUCAUCUUGCAAAUUAGAGAUAUAAUGUGAAGUAAUACGUGGCUGAUAUGGUUUGGCUAUGUCCCAACCCAAAUCUCAUCUUGAAAUAUCAUCUUGUGAUAGUGAGCAAGUUCUCAUGAGAUCUAUGGUUUUAUAAACAUCAGGCAUUUCCCCUGCUAGCACUCAUUCUCUCUCCUGCCACCCUGUGAAGAGGUGCCUUCCAUCAUGAUUGUAAGUUUCCUUAGGACUCCCCAGCCGUGCGGAACUGUUCCAUCAAAGUGAUAAACUUCAACCCCUCCAGGCCCCGGGAAUGGCUGGGUAUAAUACUGCAAAUGAGACAUAGGAAGUAUACAGGAAGUUCUCUUCAAACUUCGGACUCCGAGCAGUGGCUGGGCUUCCAGAGUCAAGCUCUAGCAGAGCACUCCCCACCAACAAUCUCUAGAGACAGAAUCUCACUCUAUUGCUCCGGUUGAAGUGCAGUGGCUGCUUACAGGGGCGAUCACGGUGCACUGCAGCCUCGAAGUCAUGGCCUCAAUCAGUCCCCCUGCCUCCACUCAAGGAUCUGCCUUAAAAAUCGCCUAUUAAAAAUCUAAUCAUUCAGAGUCGAAAGUCACCUCUGCUCUGACUCAUUUUUCGCACCAUAUAUGCCUGUGUCUCAUAAGUUUUUUUUUUCUAAUUUCAAAUAUGCUUUCAAAUUCUGUUGCAUUUCUAUAUCCACUGCUACUGUUCCACUAAACAUUUAACACUU